UCCCGUGUGGCUCAGUUGGUAGAGCAUGGUGUUUGCAACACCAGGGUUGUGGGUUCAAUUCCCACGGGGGAG
This 72-nucleotide transfer RNA is filed under the name Salmo salar (Atlantic salmon). It matches the Rfam family "tRNA". Rfam says of the family: Transfer RNA (tRNA) molecules are approximately 80 nucleotides in length. Their secondary structure includes four short double-helical elements and three loops (D, anti-codon, and T loops). Lineage: Eukaryota; Metazoa; Chordata; Actinopteri; Salmoniformes; Salmonidae. The record is from Rfam by way of RNAcentral.